GGGCGGGGUGCUGAGCUGAGGAGGACCUGUGAGAGUCGAGCUGUCCCUGUGCUUCCCUGUGGUCCAGGCUGUGCUU
Bison bison bison is the source of this 76-nucleotide microRNA precursor. NCBI's taxonomy places the organism in Eukaryota, Metazoa, Chordata, Mammalia, Artiodactyla, Bovidae. The record is from Ensembl.